GGGUUGUGAGGUUAAGCGACUAAGCGUACACGGUGGAUGCCCUGGCAGUCAGAGGCGAUGAAGGACGUGCUAAUCUGCGAUAAGCGCCGGUAAGGUGAUAUGAACCGUUAUAACCGGCGAUUUCCGAAUGGGGAAACCCAGUGUGACUCGUCACACUAUCAUUAACUGAAUCCAUAGGUUAAUGAGGCGAACCGGGGGAACUGAAACAUCUAAGUACCCCGAGGAAAAGAAAUCAACCGAGAUUCCCCCAGUAGCGGCGAGCGAACGGGGAGGAGCCCAGAGCCUGAAUCAGCAUGUGUGUUAGUGGAAGCGUCUGGAAAGGCGCGCGAUACAGGGUGACAGCCCCGUACACAAAAGCGCAUGUGCUGUGAGCUCGAUGAGUAGGGCGGGACACGUGGUAUCCUGUCUGAAUAUGGGGGGACCAUCCUCCAAGGCUAAAUACUCCUGACUGACCGAUAGUGAACCAGUACCGUGAGGGAAAGGCGAAAAGAACCCCGGCGAGGGGAGUGAAAAAGAACCUGAAACCGUGUACGUACAAGCAGUGGGAGCACCCUUUGGGGUGUGACUGCGUACCUUUUGUAUAAUGGGUCAGCGACUUAUAUUCUGUAGCAAGGUUAACCGAAUAGGGGAGCCGGAGGGAAACCGAGUCUUAAUUGGGCGUUAAGUUGCAGGGUAUAGACCCGAAACCCGGUGAUCUAGCCAUGGGCAGGUUGAAGGUUGGGUAACACUAACUGGAGGACCGAACCGACUAAUGUUGAAAAAUUAGCGGAUGACCUGUGGCUGGGGGUGAAAGGCCAAUCAAACCGGGAGAUAGCUGGUUCUCCCCGAAAGCUAUUUAGGUAGCGCCUCGUGAAUUCAUCUCCGGGGGUAGAGCACUGUUUCGGCUAGGGGGCCAUCCCGGCUUACCAACCCGAUGCAAACUGCGAAUACCGGAGAAUGUUAUCACGGGAGACACACGGCGGGUGCUAACGUCCGUCGUGAAGAGGGAAACAACCCAGACCGCCAGCUAAGGUCCCAAAGUCAUGGUUAAGUGGGAAACGAUGUGGGAAGGCCCAGACAGCCAGGAUGUUGGCUUAGAAGCAGCCAUCAUUUAAAGAAAGCGUAAUAGCUCACUGGUCGAGUCGGCCUGCGCGGAAGAUGUAACGGGGCUAAACCAUGCACCGAAGCUGCGGCAGCGACGCUGAUGCGUUGUUGGGUAGGGGAGCGUUCUGUAAGCCUGUGAAGGUGGCCUGUGAGGGUUGCUGGAGGUAUCAGAAGUGCGAAUGCUGACAUAAGUAACGAUAAAGCGGGUGAAAAGCCCGCUCGCCGGAAGACCAAGGGUUCCUGUCCAACGUUAAUCGGGGCAGGGUGAGUCGACCCCUAAGGCGAGGCCGAAAGGCGUAGUCGAUGGGAAACGGGUUAAUAUUCCCGUACUUGGUGUUACUGCGAAGGGGGGACGGAGAAGGCUAUGUUGGCCGGGCGACGGUUGUCCCGGUUUAAGCGUGUAGGUGUGUGUUCCAGGUAAAUCCGGUUCACUUUAACACUGAGGCGUGAUGACGAGGCACUACGGUGCUGAAGCAACAAAUGCCCUGCUUCCAGGAAAAGCCUCUAAGCAUCAGGUAACAUCAAAUCGUACCCCAAACCGACACAGGUGGUCAGGUAGAGAAUACCAAGGCGCUUGAGAGAACUCGGGUGAAGGAACUAGGCAAAAUGGUGCCGUAACUUCGGGAGAAGGCACGCUGACACGUAGGUGAAGUGAUUUACUCAUGGAGCUGAAGUCAGUCGAAGAUACCAGCUGGCUGCAACUGUUUAUUAAAAACACAGCACUGUGCAAACACGAAAGUGGACGUAUACGGUGUGACGCCUGCCCGGUGCCGGAAGGUUAAUUGAUGGGGUCAGCGCAAGCGAAGCUCCUGAUCGAAGCCCCGGUAAACGGCGGCCGUAACUAUAACGGUCCUAAGGUAGCGAAAUUCCUUGUCGGGUAAGUUCCGACCUGCACGAAUGGCGUAAUGAUGGCCAGGCUGUCUCCACCCGAGACUCAGUGAAAUUGAACUCGCUGUGAAGAUGCAGUGUACCCGCGGCAAGACGGAAAGACCCCGUGAACCUUUACUAUAGCUUGACACUGAACAUUGAGCCUUGAUGUGUAGGAUAGGUGGGAGGCUUUGAAGUGUGGACGCCAGUCUGCAUGGAGCCGACCUUGAAAUACCACCCUUUAAUGUUUGAUGUUCUAACGUGGACCCGUAAUCCGGGUUGCGGACAGUGUCUGGUGGGUAGUUUGACUGGGGCGGUCUCCUCCUAAAGAGUAACGGAGGAGCACGAAGGUUGGCUAAUCCUGGUCGGACAUCAGGAGGUUAGUGCAAUGGCAUAAGCCAGCUUGACUGCGAGCGUGACGGCGCGAGCAGGUGCGAAAGCAGGUCAUAGUGAUCCGGUGGUUCUGAAUGGAAGGGCCAUCGCUCAACGGAUAAAAGGUACUCCGGGGAUAACAGGCUGAUACCGCCCAAGAGUUCAUAUCGACGGCGGUGUUUGGCACCUCGAUGUCGGCUCAUCACAUCCUGGGGCUGAAGUAGGUCCCAAGGGUAUGGCUGUUCGCCAUUUAAAGUGGUACGCGAGCUGGGUUUAGAACGUCGUGAGACAGUUCGGUCCCUAUCUGCCGUGGGCGCUGGAGAACUGAGGGGGGCUGCUCCUAGUACGAGAGGACCGGAGUGGACGCAUCACUGGUGUUCGGGUUGUCAUGCCAAUGGCACUGCCCGGUAGCUAAAUGCGGAAGAGAUAAGUGCUGAAAGCAUCUAAGCACGAAACUUGCCCCGAGAUGAGUUCUCCCUGAGACUUUAAGUCUCCUGAAGGAACGUUGAAGACGACGACGUUGAUAGGCCGGGUGUGUAAGCGCAGCGAUGCGUUGAGCUAACCGGUACUAAUGAACCGUGAGGCUUAACCUUACAACGCCGAAG
This 2927-nucleotide ribosomal RNA is filed under the name Salmonella enterica subsp. enterica serovar Javiana. RNAcentral describes it as "bacterial LSU rRNA". It matches the Rfam family "Bacterial large subunit ribosomal RNA". Lineage: Bacteria; Pseudomonadati; Pseudomonadota; Gammaproteobacteria; Enterobacterales; Enterobacteriaceae. The record is from RNAcentral.